Colias croceus (clouded yellow) is the source of this 2030-nucleotide RNA transcript. It is a transcript of the gene named zinc transporter 2-like, with no coding region annotated. Lineage: Eukaryota; Metazoa; Arthropoda; Insecta; Lepidoptera; Pieridae. The record is from RefSeq and is a predicted model, not a curated record. The transcript has 10 exons.
UUUGCGAAGAGGAGCAUGUAUUGAUGCUCAUUUGAUAUUGAUUUCAAUAAUUAUUUUUAAAAUAAAUUAAUUCCCAAUUUUCAAAGCAGCAAUGUUGCUUAAUAAGUGAAUAGAUUUUGUUAUAGUGAUCGUCGUAGUUUGUUGACCGAAAAGAAAUGCGUUUCUUAGUAUAAACAAUAGGCAGUGCGUUACCAGGCGCCAGAAUGUCUGAUGAGCUCGAAGCUCGGAUGUGGGACGAAGGUGGAUCCAGAUAUGAGCAGAGGAACCAUGGAGCGUACUAUGAGUCUGCGUUUGCGUCUUCAGAGCAUUUGGAUAGAGCGCCCUUGCUUGCACAGGACAGUUACACGGAGGUCACGGUGGCCGCACCAGCGGAGACGGAGGAGCAUUGUCAUUGGAAGCGGCCGGAGCCCCCCAGUGCUGUGCCGCAGCUGUUGACUGCUCUUGUGCUGUGUUUUGUGUUUAUGAUAUGCGAGCUAAUCGGCGGGUAUCUAGCCGGCAGCCUCUCGGUGAUGAGCGACGCUGCGCACAUGCUGAGCGACUGCGGCGGGUUCGCGCUCGCUCUGCUGGCCUUCCGCUGCGCGUCCAGACCGCCCACUGCACACAUGUCGUAUGGCUACCGGCGAGCUGAGGUACUCGGCGCAAUGGCGUCCGUUCUGCUCAUAUGGGCGUUAACCGGCGUGUUCGUGUACGUGGCCGCGUUGCGCGUGCGCACCGGCGAGUACACGAUCGAGCCGGACAUGAUGAUGAUCGUGUCUGGUUGUGGAGUCGCUUUCAAUGUGCUCCUGGCCUUAGUACUGCAUGGAUGCGCUUCAGAUAUUGCCCACCAUCACUCACACGGCGGCGCAGCGUGUACGCACACGCACGCGCACGCACACACGCAAGGCUCGCCUAAACGGUUUCGUUUAUUCGGACGGCGGGAUAAACCUGCUAACGGUGUGGCCAAUGGCGACUACAGUCUGAAGGAUAUGGCCGCCGCUGAGACCAGCGUGUUGGGGGGUGCGCAGAGAAAUAUAAACUUGCGAGCCGCUCUGAUUCACGUUAUCGGGGACUUGAUUCAAAGUUGUGGAGUUCUUCUCGCCGCUAUAAUCAUUAAGUUUUACCCAGAAGCGAAAGUAAUAGAUCCGAUAUGCACAUUCGUAUUCAGCAUACUGGUUCUGCUGACGUCAGCGCGCGUCGUUCGGGACGCGUUGGCCAUGUUGAUGCAAGCUGUGCCGCAGGACUUUAGGUACCGCGAGUGUGUGAGCGCGCUGUCGGCCGUGAGCGGCGUGCGGCACGUGCACUCGGUGCACGCGUGGGCGCUCUCCACGCACCACGUGGUACUCACCGCGCACGUGGCUAUCGAUGAGCUGGCGGAGUGGGAGGCUGUGCUGUCCCGGUGCCAAGCGCUGGCGCGGGCGCAGUACGGCGUGGCCAGCGCGUGCUUCCAGGUGGAGCGGUACAGCGCCGAGAUGUCCGCCUGCCGCAGCUGCGCGCACCUCGCCGCGCCCUGACACCUUUCCACGCUGUGCCGUUAGGUGACGCUCUCUGCUCCACGCUGUGCCGUUAGAUCCAAACUGACAAACAACAACACGGCACGGGCGAGGGACUCAAUGUUGAAAUACCAAACGUGACAAGUCUGUAACUAUUGUAAUAAAGUAUUAGAAGUAUUUGCCAAAUUCCAAAUGUUUAUGUAUAUUUAGGUAAGAAAAGCAAAAAAGGAGUCAAAUAAAUAUUAUUAAUAAGUUGUUACUUCUGAUAAAAAUUAUAUAGAAAAUUAAGCAUCGGAAAAAACAUCGGAACAAAUCCAGUCGUCAAAGUUACAGUUUAAAAAUAUUCAGUGUUAGGUAGUUAUUGUUUAUAUAGAAAUUACAAUUUUUAAUAUAUUUUUAAAUAAUCCAGUUGUGUCACAGUUUAAAUGAUCUCAUUCUUGCUCAUUAUAUUUGUUAUACAGUUCAGCACAAAACUUGAAUGUACUUAGUAUUAAUUUAUUUUUAUUUAGAUAACUUAUUUUCAUACUAAACAUUGUUCUAUAGUUUUCGAAUAUAUAAACA